UGAUUUUGACCAAAAACUGUGUCCGUGUUUUCUAGGCCAUCUUAGCAGCUCAGAGACGAGGAGAGGACGUGGAGACUUCCAAGAAAUGGGCCGCUGGCCAGAACAAGCAGCAUUCGAUCACCAAGAACACGGCCAAGCUGGACCGGGAGACUGAGGAGCUGCACCAUGACCGCGUGACCCUGGAGGUGGGCAAGGUGAUCCAGCAGGGCCGGCAGAGCAAGGGGCUGACUCAGAAGGACUUGGCGACG
Long non-coding RNA from Ailuropoda melanoleuca (giant panda), 248 nucleotides. RefSeq lists it as uncharacterized. The record is from RefSeq and is a predicted model, not a curated record. The transcript is spliced from 2 exons. Lineage: Eukaryota; Metazoa; Chordata; Mammalia; Carnivora; Ursidae.